AUUCUUGUCCCUGAAGGGAUGAAAUUGCGAGAAGGUAAAUGGAGAAAUAGAUACCAGGCGAAUCGUCAAUGCCAAUACGCGGACAGAUUCGAGGAAUGUGAAGGGAAAUCAAUAUAGCUCAAACUUCUCUGACUCAGUGACACAGAAUAUCAGUUCUAUCGGUUUACGUGGAAAAUAGCUAACGAGCGCAAGCUAAUAUUACAUUAAAAGAAAGCUCCAAGUUUCACCAAGAAUAUUUAAAUUCUAUGGUUGAGCUUCAAAGUUCUUCAUCAAUGAAGAAAGCCGUAGUUUAUCUAAAAGAAAGGGAUGAGAGAUGCAGGGUUGCAUGUACCAAUUGCAACUUUUAAAAGUUCCUCGAGAAGGAUGAUCUUCGAGUUCGC
This 380-nucleotide unclassified non-coding RNA is filed under the name Bombus terrestris (buff-tailed bumblebee). RNAcentral's name for it is "misc RNA ENSBTSG00005037539.1". The record is from RNAcentral. Lineage: Eukaryota; Metazoa; Arthropoda; Insecta; Hymenoptera; Apidae.